UCGAGAGUUUGAUCCUGGCUCAGGAUGAACGCUAGCGGCAGGCUUAACACAUGCAAGUCGAGGGGUAUAGUUCUUCGGAGCUAGAGACCGGCUCACGGGUGCGUAACGCGUAUGCAAUCUACCUUUACAGAGGGAUAGCCCAGAGAAAUUUGGAUUAAUACCUCAUAGUAUGUGAGAAUCGCAUGGUUUUCACAUUAAAGUUCCAACGGUAAAAGAUGAGCAUGCGUCCCAUUAGCUAGAUGGUAAGGUAACGGCUUACCAUGGCGACGAUGGGUAGGGGUCCUGAGAGGGAGAUCCCCCGACACUGGUACUGAGACACGGACCAGACU
This 329-nucleotide ribosomal RNA is filed under the name uncultured Flavobacterium sp. RNAcentral's name for it is "bacterial SSU rRNA". It matches the Rfam family "Bacterial small subunit ribosomal RNA", at positions 1 to 337 of the family's 1533-position model. Lineage: Bacteria; Pseudomonadati; Bacteroidota; Flavobacteriia; Flavobacteriales; Flavobacteriaceae. The record is from RNAcentral.